RNAcentral lists this ribosomal RNA (220 nucleotides) under uncultured bacterium. RNAcentral's name for it is "partial 16S ribosomal RNA". It matches the Rfam family "Bacterial small subunit ribosomal RNA", at positions 794 to 1014 of the family's 1533-position model. The record is from RNAcentral.
UCCACGCCCUAAACGAUGCUGACUAGUUGUUGGGAAUUUACAUUCUCAGUAACGUAGCUAACGCGUGAAGUCAGCCGCCUGGGGAGUACGGUCGCAAGAUUAAAACUCAAAGGAAUUGACGGGGACCCGCACAAGCGGUGGAUGAUGUGGAUUAAUUCGAUGCAACGCGAAAAACCUUACCUACCCUUGACAUGUCACUAACGAAGUAGAGAUACAUUAG